GACGUAGGGUGCAAGCGUUGUCCGGAAUUAUUGGACGUAAAGAGCUCGUAGGCGGUUCGUCGCGUCGGCUGUGAAAUCCCGAGGCUCAACCUCGGGUCUGCAGUCGAUACGGGCGGACUGGAGUUCGGCAGGGGAGACUGGAAUUCCUGGUGUAGCGGUGAAAUGCGCAGAUAUCAGGAGGAACACCGGUGGCGAAGGCGGGUCUCUGGGCCGAUACUGACGCUGAGGAGCGAAAGCGUGGGGAGCGAACAGG
Molecule: ribosomal RNA, 253 nt
Filed under: uncultured bacterium
Lineage: Bacteria
Description: partial 16S ribosomal RNA
Rfam family: Bacterial small subunit ribosomal RNA
Source: RNAcentral